UAGAGUUAAGUAUACAGAAAACAAGGGUUGUAAUAGGGUAGGCGAAACCAUUCCAUUUGUGGUUGAGGAUUAUUUUGAAUAUGAGCAAAAAUAUGGGUUACAGAGCAUUAAAGUCGCAGGUAGAUUAAAGAAACACUGUGCAUUUUGGAAAGCCAUUGCUCCACCUGAUAAUGUCUUGAGGACAAUUGAAUAUGGUUAUGUUAUGCCUUUUGUUCCGAACCACCAGUUCUGCUUAACAACAACAAAUUGGCUUUAAUUCAUAGGGAGUUCAUAAUUGAUGCAGUUACCGAACUUUUACAGCUGGGCACUAUCCAGAAAACAGAAUCCAUGCCCUAAGUAGUCAAUCCAUUGACAGUUUCUGUUCAAAGUAACGGCAACAAACGUCUCAUUCUAGAUCUGAGGCUGGUUAACGAGAACCUAGACAAAGCUUCUAUGAAGUACGAAGACAAGCGUACGGCCCUUAUGUUCCUAAAGAAGGGAGGUUAUGUCUUUAAGUUUUAUCUUAAAUCUGGCUACCACCAUGUGGACAUUUGCACAGAACAUGCCAAAUAUUUGGGUUUUUAAUGGAAAGAAAACGAUAAGUCUUUCUAACAGCUUCCAUUCCGACUUUCCACUGCAUCAUAUAUAUUCACAAAAGUAAUCCGGCCACUCGUCAAAAAGCGGAGAAGUGAAGGAAAGUCCACUGUAGUUUAUCUAGAUGAUGGGCUCGGGUUCGCACCCACUCUCCUGGAAGCACUGGUGAUGAGCGAAGAGAUUCAACAGUGGAAUAUGGCGAGAGAAGCAUGAGGUCAGGGAUCAAGACUUGAGGGAGCUCGCUCUGGAAUUACCUGACAUCGUCCUCAAAUCUAGAGCUGACUAUACUGUGAAGCAGUAUUCCUAUGCUUUCAAUAACUGGCACAAAUGGGCAUCGAAUUAUGGCAAGAAAAGCAUCGAGGCCGAUCCUUGCGAUGUGGUGCUUUCUUUGGUCCAUCUGGGCCGUUCGAGCAAUUCUGCAGCAUCCAUAAUUAAGGCAGUCUCGGCAAUAUCAUGGGCACACAACACAACUGGCAGCAACGAUCCAACCAAAACAACUUUGGUCAAAUCUACAAAGGUUUGAAAAGAAAACUUUCUAAGCCCACCGUGAAGAAAAAGCCCAUUACCCUAACAAUUCUGUGAAAUAUGGUUGAUUUGUAUUUAAACUCAUCAUCUGAGUUCACAGUUGAAAAGCUCAUGGACUUGAGAGCAGUAGUGAUGUGCCUGAUAGCCUACACAGGUUUUUUGAGAGUAAAAGUAAAACUGACAUUUACCACAACAGCAGAACAGUAGUUAUUAGCAAGUGUGUAUCUGGUUAUUGCCCAGUACAUGUAUAUUUAUUUCAGAAAUACAUGUAUAUCAAAUUAGCUGAGAUAAAAGAUGCUAGCUCUUUUGUGUUCCGUAGUUUGUCGAAAGUCAAAGCGGGUUAUAAGCUUUAACGAAUCAACCCAUGUCGUAUACCCGUGUGAGAGAAGUUACAUGUAUCUUACAGGCAUUAAGUCCUUUGGUGGACGACGUUUCAAAGUUCAGGGUGCACAGCCUCAGGGCAGGAGGCGCCACAGUGGCAGCUUAAGCAGGUGUACCAGAUAGGGUCUUCAGAAGACAUGGAAGAUGGAAGAAGGAGAAUGCCAAAGAUGGUUAUGUUAAGGACAGUAUGAAGGAACUCUUAACAGUAUCAAAAUCUUUAGGUUUAUGAAAUGCAAUUAAGUAAUGUAGAAGUUUGAGACAGGUUUGCGGGGAAAAGAGAGAGAACUAAGACUAGUUCUGUCUCGGACGAAGUUGCAAUGCCAUGGAUCAGUCCUACGUUUCUCAUCCAAGGGGUGAGUUUUUGUAACACGGUCUUUAGUUCCAGUAACAACUUUGCCUUCUUGUAAAAAACAGAAGCUAGUUUCUAAGUUUUUUUAGCUCACUUACAUGUAUGUUCCACUCGUAGUAUGAAUCCUGGGUUUAAAUUCAAAAAGAGAAAGAUAACAAAAGAAGGUAAUGGUACAUGUAUUUAUGCACCAAAAAAAAGACAGUUUUGUGUCACCGUUUGAAUCUAAGCGAUCAUUGUAUAUAUGUAAACCUUCAAGGUGAAAACGGGCACUGGGUGAAAGUGUGUCCAGUGUUUUGGCCGAAAUACACCAACACCACCGUAAAUUCAUUGGUGUUUGUGUACUUUUGUUCUUCAGACGGAUGUACUAGGGAAGAAAAAGUGAAAUCAAAAAUUUGAAAAAAAAAAACCAGUUUCACAACGCGGCACAGCUAGCUAGGUACACACACGAAAGUACAUGUUCAUGUACAACUGUACGUACAUGUACACCCAAGUUUCCACUCUGUGCAGAAUCACAUAUGCGCAGCAUGCACAAUACUGGCUCCCGCCCUGCUACUGAGAAGGUAAUACAAGAGUAGACGGGUCUGGAGCCAGACUAAGGCUCGGAUUGUGCACAGCUACAGCUGUGAUGGUAUGGCUGGCAGCACAGAAAUUGCCCAAUCCAUUCAUAGUAUCGCCUCAAAACUGACCGAAGUAAUAUACGAGUACAAGUAACUUGUCACAAACCCUGGUCUUUCUCUUCAGAUUCUUCUAAUACAUUUAGGCCUACAUCGAUGGUUAUUUUGAUAUACUUCGUGGUACCAUUAAGUUAAGAUAUACUUCGUGGUUCACGAAGAUGAUUUUUGGUAAGACCGUGGCACACACACGCUGUCUGUACCACAUCCAUGCACAGUCUUGAAGUGUUUCUUUUCGUAUCAAUCUUCACAUUUCCUUCGUAAUUUCGGUAUCGUUAAUCAUUCUCAUUUAUUUUUCGUAGUAUGUGCUGUUAUUUUAACACCAUAUUUUCAUUAUUUUCAGCACAAACAUCUAACCUUGUGAUAAUAGGAAUAAGUUUGGAAUGAUGUGACAUAUUCGUUUUGACAAAAGUUUUAGAACCUAGCAAGAAAGUACAUUGUACAUGUAUGUGUACAAACAAUGGUGAAUUAAGUUAAUUUUUAAGUAGGCAUGCCUGUUUCUGUAUGUACAUGUACGUGUAUGCGUAGAAUGUUAAUCAUACAUUUUGAAUUAAAACCCCAAGAAUCUA
This 3068-nucleotide long non-coding RNA is filed under the name Acanthaster planci (crown-of-thorns starfish). RNAcentral's name for it is "uncharacterized LOC110990497". Lineage: Eukaryota; Metazoa; Echinodermata; Asteroidea; Valvatida; Acanthasteridae. The record is from RNAcentral.